GUAAAGGGAUUUAGGGGUGAGUUACUAAGUCAGUGUGUGUAAAGGGAUUUAGGGGUGAGUUACUAAGUCAGUGUGUGUGUGAAGGGGUUUAGGGAGUGAGCUACUAAGUCAGUGUGUGUGUGAAGGGGUUUAGGGGUGAGCUACUAAGUCAGUGUGUGUGUGUGUGUGUGAAAGGGUUUAUGGGUGAGUUACUAAGUCAGUGUGUGUAAAGGGAUUUAGGGGUGAGUUACUAAGUCAGUGUGUGUGUGAAGGGGUUUAGGGAGUGAGCUACUAAGUCAGUGUGUGUGUGUGUGUGAAAGGGUUUAUGGGUGAGCUACUAAGUCAGUGUGUGUGUGAAGGGGUUUAGGGGUGAGCUACUAAUAUCAGUGUGUGUGUGAAGGGGUUUAGGGGUGAGCUACUAAGUCAGUGUGUGUGUGAAGGGGUUUAGGGGUGAGCUACUAAGUCAGUGUGUGUGUGAAGGGGUUUAGGGAUGAGCUACUAAGUCAGUGUGUGUGUGUGAAGGGGUUUCUGGAGUGAGCUACUAAGUCAGUGUGUGUGUGAAGGGGUUUAGGGAGUGAGCUACUAAGUCAGUGUGUGUGUGUGAAGGGGUUUAGGGAGUGAGCUACUAAGUCAGUGUGUGUGUGUGAAGGGGUUUAGGGAGUGAGCUACUAAGUCAGUGUGUGUGUGUGAAGGGGUUUCUGGAGUGAGCUACUAAGUCAGUGUGUGUGUGAAGGGGUUUAGGGGUGAGCUACUACGUUAGUGUGUGUGUGAAGGGGUUUAGGGGUGAGCUACUAAGACAGUGUGUGUGCGAAGGGGUUUAGGGGUGAGCUACUAAGUCA
This 818-nucleotide long non-coding RNA is filed under the name Salmo salar (Atlantic salmon). RNAcentral describes it as "lncRNA (ENSSSAG00000092464.1, ENSSSAG00000104722.1)". Lineage: Eukaryota; Metazoa; Chordata; Actinopteri; Salmoniformes; Salmonidae. The record is from RNAcentral.